GUGCUUACACAUGCAAGUCGAACGGUGAACACGGAGCUUGCUCUGUGGGAUCAGUGGCGAACGGGUGAGUAACACGUGAGCAACCUGCCCCUGACUCUGGGAUAAGCGCUGGAAACGGCGUCUAAUACUGGAUAUGUGACGUGACCGCAUGGUCUGCGUCUGGAAAGAAUUUCGGUUGGGGAUGGGCUCGCGGCCUAUCAGCUUGUUGGUGAGGUAAUGGCUCACCAAGGCGUCGACGGGUAGCCGGCCUGAGAGGGUGACCGGCCACACUGGGACUGAGACACGGCCCAGACUCCUACGGGAGGCAGCAGUGGGGAAUAUUGCACAAUGGGCGCAAGCCUGAUGCAGCAACGCCGCGUGAGGGACGACGGCCUUCGGGUUGUAAACCUCUUUUAGCAGGGAAGAAGCGAAAGUGACGGUACCUGCAGAAAAAGCGCCGGCUAACUACGUGCCAGCAGCCGCGGUAAUACGUAGGGCGCAAGCGUUAUCCGGAAUUAUUGGGCGUAAAGAGCUCGUAGGCGGUUUGUCGCGUCUGCUGUGAAAUCCGGAGGCUCAACCUCCGGCCUGCAGUGGGUACGGGCAGACUAGAGUGCGGUAGGGGAGAUUGGAAUUCCUGGUGUAGCGGUGGAAUGCGCAGAUAUCAGGAGGAACACCGAUGGCGAAGGCAGAUCUCUGGGCCGUAACUGACGCUGAGGAGCGAAAGGGUGGGGAGCAAACAGGCUUAGAUACCCUGGUAGUCCACCCCGUAAACGUUGGGAACUAGUUGUGGGGUCCAUUCCACGGAUUCCGUGACGCAGC
This 798-nucleotide ribosomal RNA is filed under the name Microbacterium sp. HVG9. Its description in RNAcentral is "bacterial SSU rRNA". It matches the Rfam family "Bacterial small subunit ribosomal RNA", at positions 44 to 852 of the family's 1533-position model. Lineage: Bacteria; Bacillati; Actinomycetota; Actinomycetes; Micrococcales; Microbacteriaceae. The record is from RNAcentral.